Molecule: ribosomal RNA, 406 nt
Filed under: uncultured bacterium
Lineage: Bacteria
Description: partial 16S ribosomal RNA
Rfam family: Bacterial small subunit ribosomal RNA
Source: RNAcentral
AUUGAACGCUGGCGGCAGGCCUAACACAUGCAAGUCGAGCGAGCGGCGGACGGGUGAGUAAUGUCUGGGAAACUGCCUGAUGGAGGGGGAUAACUACUGGAAACGGUAGCUAAUACCGCAUACCAUCAGAUGUGCCCAGAUGGGAUUAGCUAGUAGGUGGGGUAACGGCUCACCUAGGCGACGAUCCCUAGCUGGUCUGCGAGGAUGACCAGCCAAACUGGAACAGAGACACGGUCCAGACUCCUACGGGAGGCAGCAGAGGGGAAUAUUGCGCAAUGGGCUCAAGCCGGAUGCAGCCAUGCCGCGUGUAUGAAGAAGGCCUUCGGGUUGUAAAGUACUUUCAGCGGGGAGGCGUUAACCGCAGAAGAAGCACCGGCUAACUCCGUGCCAGCAGCCGCGGUAAUUC